Molecule: ribosomal RNA, 253 nt
Filed under: uncultured bacterium
Lineage: Bacteria
Description: partial 16S ribosomal RNA
Rfam family: Bacterial small subunit ribosomal RNA
Source: RNAcentral
UACGAAGGGGGCUAGCGUUGUUCGGAUUUACUGGGCGUAAAGAGCGUGUAGGCGGGCCGCUAAGAUGGGGGUGAAAGCCCGGAGCUCAACUCCGGAAUUGCCUUCAUGACUGGCGGCCUGGACUCAAGGAGAGGCAAGUGGAAUUGCGAGUGUAGAGGUGAUAUUCGUAGAUAUUCGCAGGAACACCAGUGGCGAAGGCGACUUGCUGGACUUGUAGUGACGCUGAGACGCGAAAGCUUGGGGAGCAAACAUU